This 343-nucleotide transfer-messenger RNA is filed under the name bovine gut metagenome. It matches the Rfam family "transfer-messenger RNA". From Rfam's summary of the family: Bacterial tmRNA, also known as 10Sa RNA or SsrA, is named for its dual tRNA and mRNA-like properties. Its role is to liberate the mRNA from a stalled ribosome. To accomplish this part of the tmRNA is used as a reading frame that ends in a translation stop signal. The record is from RNAcentral.
GGGGUAGUCAAGGUUUCGACAGGGAUAAUGCAGCUGGAGAAGCUAUCCGGAUGUGAUACGUUACAUCACAAACCUAAAUAUAAACGCUGAUAAUAAAUUAGCAGUAGCUGCCUAAGAUGCAGCUUGUCCUGUAUUCUCGGACCUGCACGUUUAUAUAGGGCAUCAUGAACCGCAGGAAACGACUUGUACAAAGCUUUGAGUACAAGGGCGUAUCAUGAAGCUACCUGACUUAAAAGGGGUGUUGCUUCUCCUUUAAGUCGGGGAAUUACUAAUAAGCAACUAUGAUAGUAGAAGGACAGGGAAUUUAUUUUUGGACACGGGUUCGACUCCCGUCUACUCCACU